CCUUGAUGAACAGACAACCAAUGUGCUUGCACAAAGGAAGGCCACAGCUCUCCGAGGUCUACCUCUCUAUUUGAGGGAGAAUCCAGGCAACGUCCUGAAGACAUGUCUGACUCGGAGGAAACGUCCGUUGCAGGUGUUCAACUUGGCAUAGUCACCAUUGUUGAAGAUGAUGUUGGGAGAGCUCACUCAAUGCCCAGAACAAUCAACAUUGCCCUUGUCAUCGAGGAAAAGGUUGUUGUGGAGGACAUCUCUGACAUCAGUACAGCCAUUGUACUUCUCUUUGGAUGCAUCUACAACCUCAACCUGGACUACCCCAAAGGGUUGAGGUACACUUUUGAGGCCCUUCAAAAGAUUUUUAUGAACCUUGGCACAGAGUGUUCUGCCCGUGUUCAGGCUCUGAAAAACAACUUGUUAAAGUAGCCCGAUACCAUGACACAUAGACAUGUGUUCAAUGCACAUAUUUGCACACAUUGACAUGUCACUUUAUUCCUCAAAAUAUGUUUUUAAGUUCAGUAGUAGCUACACAAAUCCCAUGUUCCCAUUUGAAGUUAGUGUUUACUAACUGCUGGAUUUGUUUGUCUCUGAAACUAAACACGUUUGUGUCUUGUUACACGUUUUUAUGGAUGCACUUUCUAUAGACAUGUCACUUUAUUCCUCAAAAUAUGUUUUCAAGUUCAGUAGUAGCUACACAAGUUUGUGUAGUGUUGCUACGAAUCCCAUGUUCCCAUUGGAAGUUAGUGUUUACUAAGUGCUGGAUUUGGUUAUCUCUGCAACUGAACACGUUUGUGUCUUGUUACAUGUUUUUUAUGGAUGCACUUUCUUCACUGCUGGGUUUGGCCAGUGGUUUCCUCAAGUAUCUGACUAACACAUGUUUUGUGAUUCAUAGUGUCAAUCAUACUGUUUUCUAUAUUAUAGCUAAAGUAUUGAGAGCUGGUUCUGCACUUUGUUAUGUGUUUACAUAUUCUAUCUUUGAAAAUAAUUGUAUAAUGUUACCAAGUUCACUUAAGCAUCCCUGCUGCUGCAAUUUCAAUGUUGCCUUUUUUGUAGUUAUUGGAUUUAUAUAAUGUU
This is a long non-coding RNA of Limanda limanda (common dab), 1068 nucleotides long. RefSeq lists it as uncharacterized. Lineage: Eukaryota; Metazoa; Chordata; Actinopteri; Pleuronectiformes; Pleuronectidae. The transcript is spliced from 3 exons. The record is from RefSeq and is a predicted model, not a curated record.